AGGAGUAUAGCUCAGUGGUAGAGCGUUCGACUGCAGAUCGAGAGGUCCCCGGUUCCAAUCCGGAUGUAUUCUAA
This 74-nucleotide transfer RNA is filed under the name Diabrotica virgifera virgifera (western corn rootworm). RNAcentral's name for it is "transfer RNA cysteine (anticodon GCA)". It matches the Rfam family "tRNA". Rfam says of the family: Transfer RNA (tRNA) molecules are approximately 80 nucleotides in length. Their secondary structure includes four short double-helical elements and three loops (D, anti-codon, and T loops). Further hydrogen bonds mediate the characteristic L-shaped molecular structure. tRNAs have two regions of fundamental functional importance: the anti-codon, which is responsible for specific mRNA codon recognition, and the 3' end, to which the tRNAs corresponding amino acid is attached (by aminoacyl-tRNA synthetases). tRNAs cope with the degeneracy of the genetic code in two manners: having more than one tRNA (with a specific anti-codon) for a particular amino acid; and 'wobble' base-pairing, i.e. permitting non-standard base-pairing at the 3rd anti-codon position. Lineage: Eukaryota; Metazoa; Arthropoda; Insecta; Coleoptera; Chrysomelidae. The record is from RNAcentral.